This 497-nucleotide ribosomal RNA is filed under the name uncultured bacterium. RNAcentral describes it as "partial 16S ribosomal RNA". It matches the Rfam family "Bacterial small subunit ribosomal RNA", at positions 28 to 507 of the family's 1533-position model. The record is from RNAcentral.
GAUGAACGCUGGCGGCGUGCCUAAUACAUGCAAGUCGAGCGAACAGACGAGGAGCUUGCUCCUCUGACGUUAGCGGCGGACGGGUGAGUAACACGUGGAUAACCUACCUAUAAGACUGGGAUAACUUCGGGAAACCGGAGCUAAUGCCGGAUAAUAUAUUGAACCGCAUGGUUCAAUAGUGAAAGACGGUUUUGCUGUCACUUAUAGAUGGAUCCGCGCCGCAUUAGCUAGUUGGUAAGGUAACGGCUUACCAAGGCAACGAUGCGUAGCCGACCUGAGAGGGUGAUCGGCCACACUGGAACUGAGACACGGUCCAGGCUCCUACGGGAGGCAGCAGUAGGGAAUCUUCCGCAAUGGGCGAAAGCCUGACGGAGCAACGCCGCGUGAGUGAUGAAGGUCUUCGGAUCGUAAAACUCUGUUAUUAGGGAAGAACAAAUGUGUAAGUAACUAUGCACGUCUUGACGGUACCUAAUCAGAAAGCCACGGCUAACUACGUG